GGGUAAUCACAGGCUGGAGGAUAUGGAGAGAAAUCACAGGCCGGAGGACACGGAGGGUAAUCACAGGCCGGAGGACACGGAGGGUAAUCACAGGCCGGAGGACACGGAGGGUAAUCACAGGCCGGAGGACACGGAGAGAAAUCACAGGCCGGAGGAUAUGGAGAGAAAUCACAGGCCGGAGGAUAUGGAGGGUAAUCACAGGCCGGAGGAUAUGGAGAGAAAUCACAGGCCGGAGGACACGGAGAGAAAUCACAGGCCGGAGGAUAUGGAGAGAAAUCACAGGCCGGAGGACACGGAGGGUAAUCA
RNAcentral lists this long non-coding RNA (306 nucleotides) under Homo sapiens (human). Its description in RNAcentral is "non-protein coding lnc-BRMS1L-5:1". The record is from RNAcentral. Lineage: Eukaryota; Metazoa; Chordata; Mammalia; Primates; Hominidae.